Molecule: ribosomal RNA, 1380 nt
Filed under: uncultured bacterium
Lineage: Bacteria
Description: 16S ribosomal RNA
Rfam family: Bacterial small subunit ribosomal RNA
Source: RNAcentral
UUCGCCCUUAGAGUUUGAUCCUGGCUCAGGACGAACGCCGGCGGCACGCUUAACACAUGCAAGUCGAACGAGAGAAGAGAAGCUUGCUUUUCUGAUCUAGUGGCGGACGGGUGAGUAACACGUGAGCAAUCUGCCUUUCAGAGGGGGAUACCGAUUGGAAACGAUCGUUAAUACCGCAUAACAUAAUUGAACCGCAUGAUUUGAUUAUCAAAGAUUUAUCGCUGAAAGAUGAGCUCGCGUCUGAUUAGCUAGUUGGUAAGGUAACGGCUUACCAAGGCGACGAUCAGUAGCCGGACUGAGAGGUUGAUCGGCCACAUUGGGACUGAGACACGGCCCAGACUCCUACGGGAGGCAGCAGUGGGGAAUAUUGCACAAUGGAGGAAACUCUGAUGCAGCGAUGCCGCGUGAGGGAAGAAGGUUUUAGGAUUGUAAACCUCUGUCUUUGGGGACGAAAAAUGACGGUACCCAAGGAGGAAGCUCCGGCUAACUACGUGCCAGCAGCCGCGGUAAUACGUAGGGAGCGAGCGUUGUCCGGAAUUACUGGGUGUAAAGGGAGCGUAGGCGGGAUCGCAAGUCAGAUGUGAAAACUAUGGGCUUAACCCAUAAACUGCAUUUGAAACUGUGGUUCUUGAGUGAAGUAGAGGUAAGCGGAAUUCCUAGUGUAGCGGUGAAAUGCGUAGAUAUUAGGAGGAACAUCAGUGGCGAAGGCGGCUUACUGGGCUUUAACUGACGCUGAGGCUCGAAAGCGUGGGGAGCAAACAGGAUUAGAUACCCUGGUAGUCCACGCCGUAAACGAUGAUUACUAGGUGUGGGGGGACUGACCCCUUCCGUGCCGCAGCAAACGCAAUAAGUAAUCCACCUGGGGAGUACGACCGCAAGGUUGAAACUCAAAGGAAUUGACGGGGGCCCGCACAAGCAGUGGAGUAUGUGGAUUAAUUCGAAGCAACGCGAAGAACCUUACCAGGUCUUGACAUCGUAUGCAUAGCUCAGAGAUGAGUGAAGUCUCUUCGGAGACAUAUAGACAGGUGGUGCAUGGUUGUCGUCAGCUCGUGUCGUGAGAUGUUGGGUUAAGUCCCGCAACGAGCGCAACCCUUACUGUUAGUUGCUACGCAAGAGCACUCUAGCAGGACUGCCGUUGACAAAACGGAGGAAGGUGGGGAUGACGUCAAAUCAUCAUGCCCCUUAUGACCUGGGCCUCACACGUACUACAAUGGCUGUCAACAGAGGGAUGCAAAGCCGCGAGGUGGAGCGAACCCCUAAAAGCAGUCUUAGUUCGGAUUGUAGGCUGCAACUCGCCUGCAUGAAGUCGGAAUUGCUAGUAAUCGCGGAUCAGCAUGCCGCGGUGAAUACGUUCCCGGGCCUUGCACACACCGCCCGUCA